AAUUUAUGACUAUAAAUGCUCGGCCCGCUAUCUUGUAUAACGAGUGCCUUGUGUUUUGGUCAUCCUUCUGGAGAGCACUGCUGACCUUGAUUGGUUCGGUUGUUGUAAUCCAGUUCAUUUACUGUGAGUAAAUCAAAGUGUUCAAAGCAGGCUUGUGAAGCUUGUAUGCUCUAGCAUGGAAUAAUAAGAUAGGACUUGGGUUCUAUUUUGUUGGCUUUCAGAACCAAAGUAAUGAUCGAUAGGGAUAGUUGGGGGUGCUAGUAUUUAACGGUCAGCGGUGAAAUGCUCAGACCCGUUAAAGACUAACUUAUGCGAAAGCAUU
This 322-nucleotide ribosomal RNA is filed under the name uncultured Vampyrellida. Its description in RNAcentral is "SSU rRNA". The stretch from base 100 to 322 matches the Rfam family "Eukaryotic small subunit ribosomal RNA", at positions 733 to 955 of the family's 1831-position model. The record is from RNAcentral. Lineage: Eukaryota; Endomyxa; Vampyrellida.